GUGAACGCUGGCGGUAGGCCUAACCCAUGCAAGUCGAACGGCAGCACCGUAAGAGCUUGCUCUUACGGGUGGCGAGUGGCGGACGGGUGAGGAAUACAUCGGAAUCUACUUUUUCGUGGGGGAUAACGUAGGGAAACUUACGCUAAUACCGCAUACGACCUACGGGUGAAAGCAGGGGAUCUUCGGACCUUGCGCGAUUGAAUGAGCCGAUGUCGGAUUAGCUAGUUGGCGGGGUAAAGGCCCACCAAGGCGACGAUCCGUAGCUGGUCUGAGAGGAUGAUCAGCCACACUGGAACUGAGACACGGUCCAGACUCCUACGGGAGGCAGCAGUGGGGAAUAUUGGACAAUGGGCGCAAGCCUGAUCCAGCCAUACCGCGUGGGUGAAGAAGGCCUUCGGGUUGUAAAGCCCUUUUGUUGGGAAAGAAAAGCAGCAGGUUAAUACCCCGCUGUUCUGACGGUACCCAAAGAAUAAGCACCGGCUAACUUCGUG
RNAcentral lists this ribosomal RNA (491 nucleotides) under uncultured bacterium. RNAcentral describes it as "partial 16S ribosomal RNA". It matches the Rfam family "Bacterial small subunit ribosomal RNA", at positions 29 to 507 of the family's 1533-position model. The record is from RNAcentral.